UACAGAGGUCUCAAGCGUUGUUCGGAUUCAUUGGGCGUAAAGAGCGUGUAGGCGGCUUGGUAGGUCUGCUGUGAAAACUCGGGGCUCAACCCCGAGACGUCGGUGGAAACCACCUGGCUAGAGUCCGGAAGAGGAGAGUGGAAUUCCUGGUGUAGCGGUGAAAUGCGCAGAUAUCAGGAAGAAUAUCCGUGGCGAAGGCGGCUCUCUGGGACGGUACUGACGCUGAGACGCGAAAGCGUGGGGAGCGAACAGG
Molecule: ribosomal RNA, 253 nt
Filed under: uncultured bacterium
Lineage: Bacteria
Description: partial 16S ribosomal RNA
Rfam family: Bacterial small subunit ribosomal RNA
Source: RNAcentral